AGAGUUUGAUCCUGGCUCAGGAUGAACGCUGGCGGCGUGCCUAAUACAUGCAAGUCGAACGAGAGCCAUGAGCAAUUGUGGUUCUAGUGGCAGACGGGUGAGGAACACAUGGCUGACCUGCCCUCUAGCGGGGGACAACAACUGGAAACGGUUGCUAAUACCGCGUAAGCUGGUUGAGGUUAGAGGCUCGACCAGGAAAGCCGCAAGGCACUAGAGGAGGGGGCUGUGGCCCAUCAGCUAGUUGGUGAGGUAACGGCUCACCAAGGCGAGGACGGGUAGGGGGCCUGAGAGGGUGACCCCCCACACGGGCACUGAGAGACGGGCCCGACUCCUACGGGAGGCAGCAGUAAGGGAUAUUGCGCCAAUGGGCGAAAGCCUGACGCAGCAACGCCGCGUGCGGGAUGACAGCCUUCGGGUUGUAAACCGCUUUUCGAGGAGAAGAGGCAGGACGGUAUCCUCGGAAGAAGUCUCGGCUAACUACGUGCCAGCAGCCGCGGUAAAACGUAGGAGGCGAGCGUUAUCCGGAUUUACUGGGUGUAAAGCGCGCGCAGGCGGUUCGUUAAGGGAUGUGUGAAAGCGCCCAGGCUCAACCGGGCGAGGACGUGUUCGACUGACGAACUGGAAGCAGGUAGAGGCGGGUGGAAUUCCGGGUGUAGUGGUGAAAUGCGUAGAGAUCCGGAGGAACACCAGUGGCGAAGGCGGCCCGCUGGGCCUGACUUGACGCUCAAGCGCGACAGCAUGGGGAGCGAACGGGAUUAGAAACCCCGGUAGUCCAUGCCGUAAACGAUGUGGACUGGGUGUGGCCUUGAAAGAGGCUGUGCCGAACUCAACAGGAUAAGUCCACCACCUGGGGACUACGGCCGCAAGGUUAAAACUCAAAGGAAUUGAUGG
RNAcentral lists this ribosomal RNA (891 nucleotides) under uncultured bacterium. Its description in RNAcentral is "bacterial SSU rRNA". It matches the Rfam family "Bacterial small subunit ribosomal RNA", at positions 8 to 916 of the family's 1533-position model. The record is from RNAcentral.